Molecule: ribosomal RNA, 207 nt
Filed under: uncultured bacterium
Lineage: Bacteria
Description: partial 16S ribosomal RNA
Rfam family: Bacterial small subunit ribosomal RNA
Source: RNAcentral
CUCGUAGGUGGCCAACUAAGUCAGACGUGAAAUCCCCCAGCUUAACUGGGGAACUGCGUCUGAUACUGGAUGGCUUGAGUUUGGGAGAGGGAUGCGGAAUUCCAGGUGUAGCGGUGAAAUGCGUAGAUAUCUGGAGGAACACCGGUGGCGAAGGCGGCAUCCUGGACCAAUACUGACACUGAGGAGCGAAAGCCAGGGGAGCAAACG